GCGGCCUCGGCCCACAUUCACGUGUCCGGAGGGCCGGGCUGCGGGUCUGUCUUUUUUGCGGCGGCGGGAGAACAGGGCGACUGCAGCGGCCGGAGUCAUGGCAGGACAGGCAUUUAGAAAGUUUCUUCCCCUCUUCGACCGAGUAUUAGUCGAAAGGAGUGCAGCUGAAACUGUAACCAAAGGAGGCAUUAUGCUUCCAGAAAAAUCUCAAGGAAAAGUGUUGCAAGCAACAGUAGUAGCUGUUGGAUCAGGCUCUAAAGGAAAGGUAAAUGGUGUCUAAAAUGAGCUGUUUUAUGUUAAGUGUAGAGGAAAAAAGAAUCCCUGUAUUAAAAGUAACCUUUUAAAUUAUCUGCCACCCUAAGGGAAAUGAUUGCGAAAUAAAAUUACUUUAUAUGAGGGAGAGUUCCAGAGUAUAAAAACCAGUAACAGUACAACCAGCAUUUUCUUCAAAUUCUAAAUUAUUGACAAAGCAAAAAAUUACGGUUAAAAAUCUGGAGGUGGGAAUUUUUGGGAAUUGAGGGGAAUUUGACUCUUGGUAUCACAUCUAAUACACUGAAAUUGCCUUAAUCUUUUUUUUUGUAAAAGAUUUAUUUAUUUAUGCAUACAAGAGCUGGGGUACAGGCCAGAGAUGCGGAGGGUGACAGGAUUCACCAGAGACAGCGGGAAACUCAGGUAGACUGAAAUACACUGCUGAGGGGAGCAGCGGGCAAGACAGGAGAGAUCUGCUUCGCCAUGUGCGUUGCUCCCAGUCCAGCAGGGGAUUAAACUCAGGGAUCGAAAAUCAUGCUGCAGAGGCUGUGGGACUGCUCCAUAGUGUGGUGCUUAACCUCUUGUGCACCAGGGAGGCCCCCCAGUUGCCUUAAUCUUUUAACUUCUUGAAGCCUUAGUUGGCCUAUCUAUGAAAGGAACAGGUUGAACUAUCCUUCCUUGACUUCUCCAGUUAAGUAAAGUCAGGUAAAUGCCCUUGGGAUCGAAUGUGUUGAUUGUCUCUGUUGUCUCUAGGAAAAUUAGUUCUAGCAUUGAAACUAACCUGUGAGUUAAGAAAAGGAGGGCUGGGCCUCCCUGGUGGGGCAAGGGAUUAAGACUCAGCACUGUGAAGCUAUCUGCAGCCACCAUCAGCAGCAGUUGGAUCCCCUGCUAGGGAGCUGAUGCAUAUGACUCAGCAGACCUCUCCUGUCUCACCUGCUCCCCUCAGCAGUGUAUUUCAGUAGAUCCUCCUGUUCUGCUCCCCACUCUAUCUCUGGUGAAUCCUCUCAACCCCCGCACCUCUGGCCUGCACCCCAGCUUUGUAUGCAUAAAAAAAUAAAUCUUUAAAAAAAAAACCACACAAAAACACGGCGGCUUACAGUGUACUUCAGCCCCUCUCCCCAAAUCUGUAUUUUGGAGAAACCAAAAUUGAAGUAUAUGUUACAGAUUUGAGAAACUUCUGUUAAAUUUUUGUAUGUUGAAAGAAAUCAAACAUGACCUUCGUGUAUAUAGUUUUCAAGACAGGUUUGUUUCAAAUAACCCAUAGGUUAAUAUUUAAUGAUUAAAAAGUUAGAUAUAGUUAAAGUCAGCUUUCCCAGUAUAAUUACUUGAACACUUACUCUGAAAUCAAGUUUUACUUUAGGCCACCUUGUGCACAUUUCAAAGUGUAAUUCUACAAUGAUAUUUUUUCAAGUACUCUUAAUUGUAACAUGAAUUAUAUCACUUGGCAACAAAGUCUCUAAUGUUCGAUUCGAGUGAGAAUAUUUGAUUAAUGAAAAUUAAAUGUAAAUAUCUGUUGAACUAGUUAUCUUUGCUAAUAACAUUCUCAUUUUCUUAAGGGUGGAGAGAUUCAACCAGUUAGUGUGAAAGUUGGAGAUAAAGUUCUUCUCCCAGAAUAUGGAGGCACCAAAGUAGUUCUAGAUGACAAGGAUUAUUUCUUAUUUAGAGAUGGUGAUAUUCUUGGAAAGUAUGUAGACUGAAACCAAGAUUGAAAUGGCAUCAUGUGAAGCAGCCCAUUCCACUCAAGUUCUGAAAUCUUUCAUCAUGUAAAUAAUUUCUGUGUCUCUUUUAUAAUAAACUAAUGCUAUCCAAACUGUGAUGACAUCCAGUGUCUCUAAAAUUUAGUUUCACUGUACUUACAUAAACAUUUCCAAAUAAAAGCAUAUAAAUGAAUGGUAAAUCUUUAUUUAGUGAUUGAAGGUGGCUUUAGGGUUCUCUAGUUUUGUUUUUUUUUUUUACAAAUAACCUGCAGCAGAUUCUGAGAAAGCUUUCCAUUUUCACAUUGAAAUUAGCCUUAAUACAUAAAUAAUUGAUGCUGAUACAGUAAUGAAUUUCUACUUAAUUUUAAGAAAGUUGAGUAGCAACAUUCUAACUUCAUACAUAACAGUGCUUAUAUUGACAUGUAUUUAUUGAGGGCCUUUCUGGUGGCAUAGGGGUUAAGUGUCAGCGCUUCCACUACUAUGGUGUACCAAGAUGGCCUGAGAUCAAUCCCAGAUUCACCUUUUCUGCUCCCCACUCUGGUAAAUCCUCUUACCCCUCCCCCUAACCUCUGACCUACAAACCCAGUUCUACACAAAAAUUAAUUUAAAA
RNA transcript from Talpa occidentalis (Iberian mole), 2556 nucleotides. RefSeq lists it as uncharacterized. The transcript is spliced from 3 exons. The record is from RefSeq and is a predicted model, not a curated record. NCBI's taxonomy places the organism in Eukaryota, Metazoa, Chordata, Mammalia, Eulipotyphla, Talpidae.